UAGGGAAUCUUCGGCAAUGGACGAAAGUCUGACCGAGCAACGCCGCGUGAGUGAAGAAGGUUUUCGGAUCGUAAAACUCUGUUGUUAGAGAAGAACAAGGACGUUAGUAACUGAACGUCCCCUGACGGUAUCUAACCAGAAAGCCACGGCUAACUACGUGCCAGCAGCCGCGGUAAUACGUAGGUGGCAAGCGUUGUCCGGAUUUAUUGGGCGUAAAGCGAGCGCAGGCGGUUUCUUAAGUCUGAUGUGAAAGCCCCCGGCUCAACCGGGGAGGGUCAUUGAAAACUGGGGGACUUGAGUGCAGAAGAGGAGAGUGGAAUUCCAUGUGUAGCGGUGAAAUGCGUAGAUAUAUGGAGGAACACCAGUGGCGAAGGCGGCUCUCUGGUCUGUAACUGACGCUGAGGCUCGAAAGCGUGGGGAGCAAACAGG
This 429-nucleotide ribosomal RNA is filed under the name Gemmatimonadota bacterium. Its description in RNAcentral is "Gemmatimonadetes bacterium partial 16S ribosomal RNA". It matches the Rfam family "Bacterial small subunit ribosomal RNA", at positions 355 to 776 of the family's 1533-position model. The record is from RNAcentral. Lineage: Bacteria; Pseudomonadati; Gemmatimonadota.